Pogoniulus pusillus (Red-fronted tinkerbird) is the source of this 5909-nucleotide RNA transcript. It is a transcript of the gene named collagen, type I, alpha 1b-like, with no coding region annotated. The record is from RefSeq and is a predicted model, not a curated record. The transcript is spliced from 5 exons. Lineage: Eukaryota; Metazoa; Chordata; Aves; Piciformes; Lybiidae.
CUGCCAAUGGCUCGAAGCCGCAGCUUCCACGACACCGGAGUCACGGCACGAACGGUUCGCGUUUUGCUCGUUUUUAACCGGAGAGGGGAAAAAAGCAGAGGGGCGGCUGCGUUCGCGGAGACCGAGAGCCGUCUUGUAGGCGCUAGGGGUGGGGCAGGGAGGUCCCGGGACACCGAGCGGCCCUGAGCUCUCCUUCUUCCCUCUCCGGGCUCCCAAGGUGGGUUAGCGUCCACUACCCUGCUCCCCGUUACCCCGCAGCCCCGCCGUGUUCCUGCCGGAGGUUCAUGUGGCGCCCAUCAGCGGAGUCCGACAAGAAUCGGGACAGCUACCUGCACCCCAGAACCUCCCCCUUUAAAGCUCUGAGGCUUCAAAGGUGGCUUGGAUUGAGCGGUAGGGUCUGAGGUCCCCAACCUUGACCUUGGCUUUGAGGGCGCGGUGUUGAGCCGCCAGGUGUCGCUGCGGCCCCGCCGCUGCCCGUUUCCCGCGGGACCGGGGCCGCCAGAGCGUGGGCACGGCUCCGGGCCCAUCCCGCUCUGUGCUCCCUCUGGGGCACCAGGCAGCUUCUACCGGGCACUGCGACCCUUUCCUUGCCCUUUUUAUUCCCUGCGGAGCUCCAAACCCAGCAUAAACCCACCUGAAGUCCUGCACGACCGAAGAGAGGGGUGCAGGAUUGGAGGGGGCACCUGAGCCCCUCCUCUCCGAAAACACAGUACCGUGCUGUUCUCUGCGGCUUUCAGUGUAUCUCGCAGCACCCUGGUAGCACCUCGAGUACCUACUGCUGCCCCCAUCCCAGUCUGAAAUUUGAAGGGAGGGGAGGGAGUAACGCUUCACCCAGCUUUACCCAGCAGCAAAAGGUACCCGCCUGACAGGACUCACCCCGUUUCACCCAGUUUCACCCAGCAGCGGAGGGUACCCGCUUGGCAGGACCCACCCCACGGGUGAUGCACGUGCUCGGACCCACCCAUACCGGGGGGUUCAGGUUUCCCAGGUCGUUCUGCGGCUAAGGCGGGGAGCUUGCAGUGCCGAGCGGGCGAGGAGGAAAGCUUCGGGGCCUCGGGUUCUCUGGGAGGAAGAGGGAAGUGGAUCGGGGAAGAAAGUGGGGACCGCCUGGUGCGAAGUGACUCUGGGUAAGGACGAGGCUGCAAGGGACUGGCUCUCCUCUCCGGUGCAUUGUAUCAACGUCUCUUAUUUGGGGUUUUUUAUAUGCUUUUCUGGAAAAAAAAAAAAAAAAAAAAUUAAAAAAAAAAACCGCAACCAAAACAAACAAACAAAACCAAACCCCAAACCAUAAAUUUCAGAAUAUAAACCUGACCCAUACAAAAAUUUCCUCCUUCCAAAGAGGGUGGGGGAAAAAAAUCUUUGGAAUUACUCUCGCCGCUUUAUUUCUGAAGCCCUCCCGGGCACAGCGCUCUGAAGGGGGUCGAUGCCAACAAGACCUUGCUGCCUUGUCCGACGGCGGGAUCGUGCCGAGGCUGCCUGUUACCUUACCCGGGUGCGGGCGGGUAAGGUCGGCAAGGCACGGCACGGGUGCAAAAAAAACCCCUAACAAAACCCAAACCCACCACCAUCAAACCCGAAAUAAGACACAAAUCCGCUCUUCCUGCAGGGUGAGUUGCCUCAAUAGAGCUUCUUUUUAUCCCCCCCCCCCUCUUUCCCUUACGUUGUCCAUCUGCAGAAGAAGCGACCCCAUCCUGGUACGCCCCGUCGGCGUCGGGUAGAAGCGCUGGGGAAUGCAACCCCCCCUUCCUCUACCCCCUCCUUGGAGACCCCGCUCCCCGUCGGUCCUGUCGGUCGGAUAAUGGGGCGGUGGGACUUUGUUUAACCCUGUUGCCCCCGAGGCCAGAGGUCAAGGGCUUCCUCUUCCCCUGGGGCACCGCGGAGAGGCCGCCGGCCGCACCAGGAGGACCGCGGCGGUGAGGGGGGGGGCGGUGGCCGUCGCAUCUCCCCUCCCUGUCGCAGCCCUUCUGAUGGGACCGACGUGACAUCCUGUAAAGCCUUAUCGUCCCCCAGCAUCGGAAGGUUGAGGAUGACUCCGGGUGGAUGUUUCAGGGGUGUAGGGUGCGACCAAAUAUCAUCCCGGGGCAGGGAGAGGUGGGGGACUGCAAGGAAGCGGCCCCUGCCUUCCAACGUUCCCCGUCUCUGCCUUCCUCUCUCGACUUUUGGAAGGCUGUUUUAACGCGGGGCAAUUUUAACGGGGCUUUAACCCCCCCUCCGCAAGCAGAGGUAUCUCAGUCGUCCGCCCCGGGAGCCAAGAAACGGGAGAAAUGGGCAAUUUUUAUAGGUGACGUACGGGCUUACGUGGGAUCCCGUGGCCAGCACCGCUCUUUCAGAGUUUUUCUCCUGAAAUAACCCUUCUCUGCAGCUCGUGCCCCCCUUUCCCAGCUCGCACCCCCUUUUCCAGACUGGGAGGGGAGGGGAGCUGGGAGAGGGAGAAUGAAAAGGGAAAAGAAAAGCAGUCCCUCACAUCCCACUAUUUCCUUGCUGGGGAGAAGAGCUCCGCAGCUCUCAAAGUGAGCAAUGGAGAAGGCGCCAAGAGGCAGGGCGAUGUGUGGGGGUCGGCGAUGGGAUAGAGGGGUUUGGGUGGCCUCCUUUUCGGUAUUGUAGGAGAACCAGCGAGGGAGGGAUGCUGGCCGCACCGCGGGCACCCGAGGUUUUCGACUCUGGGUGAGCAAAAGGAUUUCUUAAACUCCCCGGGAAGAGGAGAAGACGUUUCCCACCCACCCCCCCCGCUCCUCUCCCCUCCUUUUUUUUUUUUUUUAAUGGCGUUAAUUGCUUUUUAAAAUAAAAUCCUACGGAAUUUGGCACCGACCCUCGGUUUCUGCUGGCGGUGGCAUUUGAGAAAACCUGUCGGGGGAUCCCUCAGUCCUCAUCGGGGCAGCGAGAGACUCCCCAGAGCCACUCCGGACAGCGGUGGAGUGAAUCUGAGAUAAAAAAUAGGAGCCGGGUUACACGCAGGAAGAGGAAGGAGAGGUCGGAAGCGUAAAGUAAAGGCUGUGCAAGAUGUGUACAGAAGAUGAGGAAGAUAGAAAUAAAGGGAGCGGAGGAGAAAAGCGCAGGCGGUACCUGCUGUGCCCGCGCCCUGCUUCCAGCUCGCUGCGGCUGUCGAGGCGAAGCAGCCGCGGUGCUGCGGCCUGGCUUCGAGGUGCGGAUGGCACAGCUCGGCUCGGUCCGGCUGUGGAAGGGACCCCUACCACUGGGGCCAGAGUCGCUGCCCGAGAGUAGCCAGUGUCCAGGCUCUGCCCGACGGCUUCAGGUGGGCCGAGCCGCGCCCAGGGAGCCACGGGUACGUUCAGCAUUUGGACAGCGGUGCGGGCCGGGCCGGGCCGGGCCGGGCCGGGCCGGGGAGCAGAGCAAAAAGGCCAGGGAGCUGCAGGGAAACGGAGCGCUAAGGAUGGCUGCAGCCGUGGCGGGUGGGGUGAUAUGAACUUAAAGGACCGGAGACAGAGCCGAGCGGGGGACCCUGGCUGCAGGACGGGUCCGGCCCCAGGCUCUCCCCUUUCGGACUGGGGGCAGAGCGAGAUGCCCAGCGGAGUGCCCAGGUGAGCAGCAGCGGCUCCGAGGGAGUGGGCGGCAGAGAGUCUCCUUGGGGAGCUGGGGGGGACACACACAUAACCCCUCUCCUCCACUCAGCCCCAUCCUCGGGGGGUAAUUAAAGGGGUGAGGCGGAGGGGCUGCGCUUUCUGCUCGGCGGAGCCUGCCAGCCACCAACCCCCGCCGCCACCACCGCCUUCCUUCCGUCCUCCUCCUCUCCCCCUCCCUCCCCCUGCCUCCUCCCCUCCCCCUCUCCCUCCUCCUCCUCCUCCUCCUCCUCUCCGCCAUGGUUGGAGUGAAUAGGAGACUGCCGGGCUGACGUCAGUGCGGGCAGAGCCUGCCGGCGGCGGCAGCUCCUGGCCAACAAGCAGAGCCAGCACCGGCAGCAGCCGUGAAGACGGACGGAGCCCGGGCAGAGCCGCCUCGCCGGCCCUCUCCUGGGGCCGGGGAAUGAUGCUUGGCCGAGGGCAGCCCUGCCCGCCCCUCUGCCCGCUCGCCCAUGGUUGGAGUGGGGAGGCCCCUGCCGCCCGUUUCGGCCGGGGACCGCCGUCUUCGGCACGGCAGCAAGACGAAACGCGUUUUAGGCCUCAGCCUUAAGGAAACUCGAAUCAUAGCAGUGCAGUUGGCCUGAGAGCCUGCACCUGGCCAGGUCUCUUCAACAUGCUUCCACCCUACCUCCCCGCUGGGCAGAGCCUCGCCCUGCGAGCAAGGAGGGUCCAGGACCGGCCCCGCCUGGGUCCCUACCCAGAGGAAAAAGAGCACCCGGGGACCCGGGAAGCUGCUACUUUGGCUUUUCAGCACCGGGGCUUGCUCGGAGGCGGCUUUUAAGUGCUAAACAAAGCGACGUGUUUCCUUCGCGCCCGUAGGGAGCUGUCACUUCUGGGCGAAGCUCCGAGUGAGGGAGGAAAAGCAAAAACACCCCAACACCCCCCCCCCCCAAAAAAAAUAAAAGCAGCCCCCAAAUUAAGAGAAGAUGGAGCUCGACUCGGCGAGGCGCGGGGGGUUACUCCAGGUUGGCUAAAAAUAACUUCUCCUAAUUAAAGAAAAGUGACGUCAGACGCGCAGGACGUAGAAGAGGGGAAGGCAGCGGACUCGUUACAGGGCGAUCACGCUAAGUAAUUCAGGGGCAGCCCGGUGACCGGGCUCUCCCGAGGCCGCCCGCCCUGCCCUGCGCCGGGCUCACGCGCGGCGGGAGUGGGCAGCCAGGCCGUGCCACCUUCUGGAGGGCGCGGAAGCUCCGCGGUAGCGGUGGGGCCGAAGGUCGGUGCAGCACCAUGGCCAGAGCCGCGCCGGCCCCGCCGCCCGUCCCCGUCCCGUCGGACCGUCCGCAGCUGCGGCUGGUUUUCUCCCGUGGGUGCGUGAGAAGAAAGGACGGUUCCGAGCUCCUCGUGGGCGGCCCAGCUGGGGCAGGACGCGGGAUGCCUCCGGACGCCGCUCGCUGCGGCAGAAGGGAGCCCCGAAGCCCAGGCAGCCUCCGCUGAUCCCUCCCCAGGAUGCUCACUGGUGCUUUGAGCUGUGCCAUGAAGCCAUUUUGUACGUAUCCAGCUAAAAUUGUGGGGGGGAAGGGGAAAAAAAAGGCCCAAAUCCCCAGAAUGCAAAAUAGCAACAACAGGAAAAAAAUCCAAACCAACCAAACCCAAAGCCUGAGCAAAAAUACCCCGAAUAGCCCAGGUGCUUGGCGCAAUUGUCUCCCAGGUGCAGGGGCUCUGCCUACCCGAAGCGCGUCGAGGCGGGAGCCCAGAUCAGAGCAAGGCACUGGUGAAAAGGAGCAGAAAAAAAAGUAAUCAUAUUAUAUGUAUUUCUGCCAAGAAAAUCGCCUCCGUUACCCGUCAGAGAGCGAGGACCCCGUCCCCAGCGCCAACAGCGCGGCCAGAUGAGGUGCUUCACCCGCGGCAUCUUCUCUUGCCCGAGCCACACGGCGGCCCGGGGGCUCGGCACGGCGGGCGACAGAUCUCGCAUGGCGGCAGCCCGGCAGAGCCGCGGCUUGACUGGGCUGUGUCUGCUCCUCUGGGCCCCUUUCUCUCUGCCGCAAGGCCGGCGGGGCCGGAGCGGAGCCGCAUCGCCUCCGGACCGGUCCCGGGCGCUGGGGAGGCUACCCACGGCCCCCCGCGCUGCUUCCCCGCCGCCGAGGCCCCGCAGUGAGUAACUGGGCCUCCUCCGGUGGGUGAAAACGGAGACCGGGCCGUGGGCCAGGCGAACCCCGCGUUCCCCAGUGUCCGCUCGGCACUGCAGUCCCCGCACCCCGGGCUACUCCGCAGGGGCUGCAGGGCGGGCACCUUCCCCUGCCCCGGCUAGGGAACGUACCGGCAGCGGUCGUCAGGACUGAGACAGCGAUAAAUUAGGGAAAAAAUCAGGAUCAUAAAAUUAAGGCGAUCCGA